GGGAGUGAAUGGGGACUGGUGUCUCCCCUGGACUUCAAAUCCAGUCGCCUGGCGGUGACCCCGGCAGGGGUGGGUUCGAUUCCCACACACUCCCGCCA
RNAcentral lists this transfer RNA (98 nucleotides) under Clostridia bacterium. RNAcentral's name for it is "tRNA-Sec". It matches the Rfam family "Selenocysteine transfer RNA". Lineage: Bacteria; Bacillati; Bacillota; Clostridia. The record is from RNAcentral.